Molecule: ribosomal RNA, 253 nt
Filed under: uncultured bacterium
Lineage: Bacteria
Description: partial 16S ribosomal RNA
Rfam family: Bacterial small subunit ribosomal RNA
Source: RNAcentral
UACGGGGGGUGCGAGCGUUGUCCGGAAUCAUUGGGCGUAAAGCGCGCGUAGGCGGCCUCAUAAGUCCGUUGUGAAAGUCAAAGGCUCAACCUUUGAAAGCCGAUGGAUACUGUGAGGCUAGAGUCCGGAAGAGGCGAGUGGAAUUCCUGGCGUAGCGGUGGAAUGCGCAGAUAUCAGGAGGAACACCAAUAGCGAAGGCAGCUCGCUGGGACGGUACUGACGCUAAGGCGCGAAAGCGUGGGGAGCGAACAGG